This 570-nucleotide long non-coding RNA is filed under the name Ursus maritimus (polar bear). RNAcentral's name for it is "lncRNA (ENSUMAG00000023738.1)". Lineage: Eukaryota; Metazoa; Chordata; Mammalia; Carnivora; Ursidae. The record is from RNAcentral.
CAACCAAAGCCUGGCCCUAAGGACAUGAGAUUCCAUAUGGCUAACCUGCAAAGUGGAGCAUGAGAGGAAUAGAGGGAAGAUGAAGAGAGCAUGGCAUGAUGAAGGACUUUCACAGUGUUCUGGAGGAGGACCUCUGGAUGCUCCCUGCUUCUUGCUACGUGUUUGGGCAGACAGCACCCCGAGAGGCGAGUUGGCUCCAUCUGCGAUUUGGAAUUACGUGAAGAGAAAAUAUAAGGGGAUACGAAAACCAUGGUGACAAUCUUGGAAAAUGAGAUUAAGUCACAGCUGUAUAAGUUUUUUUAUGUGCUCUUACACACAACUGAUAGCAACAAAGAGAGCCACCUGUUUCCAGUCAGACACUGCCAAAUCUUUCAGAAGGAAAUUGGGACACGGAGAAAAAGUACCCGCUUUUUCAGUAAACUUACCCAACGGGAGAAGAAGCACCUUCCCCCGUGGACCUCAUCGAAACUCCUGGAUGGGGCCGUCCCAGGAGCUGCGAGCCUUGCUGCACCGGGUCUGAAGACUCAUGCAUUCUCCAGGCCUCUGCGAAGACACCGGUUUGUCCUUUGA